Long non-coding RNA from Carassius auratus (goldfish), 643 nucleotides. RefSeq lists it as uncharacterized. The record is from RefSeq and is a predicted model, not a curated record. The transcript is spliced from 3 exons. NCBI's taxonomy places the organism in Eukaryota, Metazoa, Chordata, Actinopteri, Cypriniformes, Cyprinidae.
AAAAAAAACUCGCUGCUGUAUUCAUAUUGUAUUGUCGUGAAGCUUCAGAAUCACCUCGGGUCUGCCAGCCAUCGUUAGUGCAGGAGGCUACGCCUGGCUGAGCUGUGCGCUCCGGCGACAACAAAACAGCAAUCAUGACUAGGGGAAAUCAGCGUGAGCUUGCCCGUCAGAAGAAUGCUAAGAAGAACAAUGAACAUGCCAAAGGGAAGAGAAAUGAGGAUGGCCUCUCAGCAGCUGCCCGAAAGCAAAGAGAUGCUGAAAUCAUGCAGCAGAAGCAAAAAAAGGCAAAAGAGAAGGUGGACCCUAAAGGCAAUUAACCAGUGGCUGGCGCUGUGACCGACAUGGCAUCCUGAUUUAUUUUUUCUUUUUUUUUUUUUGGUCAAGAGCAGGUAUCUGUCAUUGUAUAGAUCUGGAGACUUUGAUUCUUUAAUGUUUCAUCCCAAACUCUGUUAUGUUCUUGAAAGGGCAUAUAAAUUACACCGUACAUAAUGAUUUGUGUUCAGCUGUUGAGGAGAGAGUUUCUUAUGUUCAAAUAAUCAGAGCAAGACCAAAUAUUGGGAGUCUCAAAGAUGUGUGGACUUGCACUGUAAUCUUGUAUUUUUGUAUCAAAUGCCCUUCUUAAUAAAAUUUACAUUUUAAUUCA